AUUAUUAUUAUUAUUAUUAUUUUGGUUGCUUUAGCAAUCAAUCCACUCUGUCAUAAAUUAUUAGGAUGAUAAUCGGUGAUACCGGAAGUAUUUGGAUGAUGGACACGUGUACAAGGUUUAUGGUAUGGAAAUGAGAUGAUACAAGUACUUAGGGUAGCUAUAUGACUACUUCUAAGUACUUCAAUACGAUAUAUGGAAGGUUAUGACUGCGUCUAGGCGAUUUGGACAGCCGGAAAGAGAUUCGACUUGUUCCUUGCAAGACAACAAAAGUUAGGGGCCGAGGAGAUUAUUCUACUUGGCACUCCGAUGCUUUGGUAAAAAGAGUUGUAAGAAUGUUUUACCUUAGACAGUAAAUAACAAUAUAUACUAUAAAAAAAAGACCAGUAACAAGCAAACACGUGGAGGUCUGUGGCUAAUGGGACUCUGUCAUUCAAAUAUAUUUCUACAUAAGAUCAGUGCAUACCAUACUUAGGGCAAUGAUGAUCCUGAUACAUUUGAAACGGCAGUUAUAAGUAAUUAAGGAGUAUAUGUAUGUUAUAUUAGAUAAGUGGUCAAGCCGACCUGUUAACAAAUAGCAAAUAACUUAAAAUAUAAGUCGAAAAAAUGUUCGAGUCGUCUCAGGGUGGCACAUAUCCUUUGUUUACCUGUUAUCAGGUUGUAUAUUUUAAUCAUUCAAGGUUAGAACAACCAGACAGGGAGAUCGAGUGACCUUGGCAUCAUUCCGAGAUGUUGUAGUCGGCCUAUAAUGUAUUAUACUUAUAAUGUGAUUAUCUGGUUAUAAGGUCACCCGAGAAUAGUAUCAGGGUUCUUUCCCAAGCUGUAUGGGAAGUAAGGUUUAUAUGAAGACAUAUGGUGUAGAUCUAAGUAAUGGGACAGUUUAUAAAGUAUUGCUACCUAUACAUGGUACCUAGUGAUAUGUUUUAUACUUCUUUCUAUUUAAGGACACGAGAUAUCUAUCCAAGUAGACGGAUAAUUUAUAUUGUAUCACAUGAUAAGGAUCUAAUCUUGUGCUCUCUUCGUUUCUUCCAUUCUCCACUACUGUCUUUUGGUGAUAUUUUUUUGAAAGUGAGUCUUUGAUUAAUCCUUAAACAUGAUAUGGGUUUGCCUUGUAGCAUAUCUUAUGAUAUGGUGUUUUCUUUGAGGUGAUGAACUAUAAAUGUUAAGGAUCAUUGGUUGAUGAACUAUAAAUAUUGAGGACCUUUGAAAUUAAGUACAAUUAUACAUAAUGCAAAAUUAAAUUCUCUCUAGUUUUAUAUUAGUUUACUGCGUUUCAUAAAUGUUGAGGAUCAUGUUGCAACAAAAUUAGAGAACAAUUAUAUAAGAUACAAAAUGUUAUGUGGUUUGAUCUACAUUUAUGGGAGAGAAUUAGAAAUUUCAUUAUGGAAUAAUGGAGAUCAAAAUGAUGCUAAAUUGUCUUCAACCUCACAAUCCAAUGCCCCAUACAGUUAAAACAUAAAAAAGAAAAAAAAAUCUAUUUAAAAAUAAAAAUUUUACAAUCAAUUCAAUUAAUUUUUUAAAAAAAAUUAAUUCUCUUAUUUAAAAAUAUCAGCUUAAAUAUUUUUUGGCUUUAUUUAAAAUAAGUAAAGAUUAUAGGUUUUUUUUU
This 1603-nucleotide unclassified non-coding RNA is filed under the name Hevea brasiliensis (rubber tree). Lineage: Eukaryota; Viridiplantae; Streptophyta; Magnoliopsida; Malpighiales; Euphorbiaceae. The record is from RNAcentral.